GACGAACGCUGGCGGCGUGCUUAACACAUGCAAGUCGAACGGUAAGGCCCCUUCGGGGUACGACGAGUGGCGAACGGGUGAGUAACACGUGAGCAACCUGCCCUUGACUUCGGAAUACCAGCUGGAAACAGCUGCUAAUACCGGAUAUGACUCCGACCGUCCUCGGUCGGGGUGGAAAGCUCCGGCGGUCAGGGAUGGGCUCGCGGCCUAUCAGCUUGUUGGUGAGGUAAUGGCUCACCAAGGCUUCGACGGGUAGCCGGCCUGAGA
This 267-nucleotide ribosomal RNA is filed under the name uncultured bacterium. RNAcentral's name for it is "partial 16S ribosomal RNA". It matches the Rfam family "Bacterial small subunit ribosomal RNA", at positions 28 to 297 of the family's 1533-position model. The record is from RNAcentral.